UACGUAGGGGGCGAGCGUUAUCCGGAAUUAUUGGGCGUAAAGGGUGCGUAGGCGGCCAUGUAAGUCUAAGUUAAAAGCCCACGGCUUAACCGUGGAGGGUGCUUGGAAACUGCAUGGCUUGAAUCCAGAAGAGGCAAGUGGAAUUCUAUGUGGAGCGGUGGAAUGCGUAGAUAUAUGGAGGAUCACCAGUGGCGAAGGCGGCUUGCUGGGCUGGUAUUGACGCUGAUGCACGAAAGCGUGGGGAGCAAAUAGGAUUAGAUACCCUGGUAGUCCACGCCGUAAACGAUGAGAACUAAGUGUUGGGGAAACUCAGUGCUGAAGUUAACACAUUAAGUUCUCCGCCUGGGGAUUACGACCGCAAGGUUGAA
Molecule: ribosomal RNA, 368 nt
Filed under: uncultured bacterium
Lineage: Bacteria
Description: bacterial SSU rRNA
Rfam family: Bacterial small subunit ribosomal RNA
Source: RNAcentral